RNAcentral lists this long non-coding RNA (238 nucleotides) under Mytilus galloprovincialis (Mediterranean mussel). The record is from RNAcentral. Lineage: Eukaryota; Metazoa; Mollusca; Bivalvia; Mytilida; Mytilidae.
GGCUAUCAAAUGGUAGAAUGCAUUUUUUCCCAUCUCCAUUCCCAUGCAUUUUCUAGCCAGGAUGUUGUCAAUAAUUCUUAUUAUUCCUAGUUCUUUUUGUUUUCCUUUUGCACUCUGAUUUAUUUUGUCUUCUGUAAUACUCAAAUACCUGACCUAUAAAUUUAUAUUAAAAGGUAAAAUUGUAUAUUACAAAGAAAAGCUACUUCAAGUAAUUCAGACACUAAUUUAUAGUCUUUUU